Non-coding RNA from Stegodyphus mimosarum, 74 nucleotides. NCBI's taxonomy places the organism in Eukaryota, Metazoa, Arthropoda, Arachnida, Araneae, Eresidae. The record is from Rfam.
GGCCCGUUAGCUCAUUUGGUUACAGCAUCGAGCUAAUAACGCGAAGGUCGUGGGUUCGAUUCCCUCAUGGGCCA